CCUACGGGAGGCAGCAGUGGGGAAUCUUGCGCAAUGGGCGAAAGCCUGACGCAGCCAUGCCGCGUGAAUGAUGAAGGUCUUAGGAUUGUAAAAUUCUUUCACCGGGGACGAAUAAUGACGGUACCCGGAGAAGAAGCCCCGGCUAACUUCGUGCCAGCAGCCGCGGUAAUACGAAGGGGGCUAGCGUUGCUCGGAAUUACUGGGCGUAAAGGGAGCGUAGGCGGAUAGUUUAGUCAGAGGUGAAAGCCCAGGGCUCAACCUUGGAAUUGCCUUUGAUACUGGCUAUCUUGAGUACGGAAGAGGUAUGUGGAACUCCGAGUGUAGAGGUGAAAUUCGUAGAUAUUCGGAAGAACACCAGUGGCGAAGGCGACAUACUGGUCCGUUACUGACGCUGAGGCUCGAAAGCGUGGGGAGCAAACAGGAUUAGAUACCCUGGUAGUCCACGCUGUAAACGAUGAGUGCUAGUUGUCGGCAUGCAUGCAUGUCGGUGACGCAGCUACGCAUUAAGACACUCCGCCGUGGGUAGGUACGGUCGCGAAGAAUUAAACGUUAAAUAGAAGUUAGACGGCGUAGAGACGUAGCCGAACGGACGACGACGAGGGAGGUAGG
This 609-nucleotide ribosomal RNA is filed under the name uncultured bacterium. Its description in RNAcentral is "bacterial SSU rRNA". The stretch from base 1 to 518 matches the Rfam family "Bacterial small subunit ribosomal RNA", at positions 338 to 873 of the family's 1533-position model. The record is from RNAcentral.